UAAAGUGGCAUGAGUGUAUGUGUGCUGACUAGAGUUCAUUGUACUGUAUGCUGUAUGCAUCAGUGUGGAAAAUGAUAACUGAUAAAUGCAAGUGAGGAUAUUUCAAUAUCUACGAUACACAAAUAAACUGACAGCACCACAAAAUCGACACAGCAUUUAUUUAUUUAUUUCAGAAACCUUAAUACUGUGAUCACUGCAAAUGUCUUAUUCAUACCUUUACAUUUUACAAAGACAAUGGAUCUGGGAUGUAAACAGUAUUUUCAAUUGUUUAAAACGUAUGGUCCUCUUAAAAUAGUGUGCUUUGUUUCCAGUCAGAGCGGAUCACCUCACCGUUUCCUCUGUUCUUCCAGCAGGAGCAAACAAAACAGAUCAAGACUCAGCAGUGCAGGGCUGCGUCUCCGAGCUCUGGGAAACCUUCCUCCCCUGCUUCAAUCACUGAAACCCAGCAUCCCUACAGUUUACACAACGUACGACCUCCUCUCGUCUGAUCAGUGAUGCUUGAGGAAUAAAGUUAUAAAGCACCUGUUUGUCAGGAGCUGCACUGGCAGGGAAAACUACAGAGCAACAUUCUAGACAAGGUUGCACAGGAAUCCAUCAAUUCACCCUUUUUAUAUCCAAAACCUGUAAACACUAUGCUUUUUUUCUUUAAUGUAAAACACAUUGUUGUGCAAAGAAUCUCAAAAAAAAGAUAUUGCAAAAAAAAAAAAAAAAAAAAAAGAAAAGAAAAAGAACAUCUGAACAUUCAAAUUUGUGAUAUCCUUCAGUGAAGCAGCAAAAACAACGCUGAGGAGAGAAAACCCACGUUCACUGCAAGGUAACAAAGACGAGUGAAACCCCAGACCGGCUUACGUUUGUUUCUGACUUAGUAUAAACUGAAUCUAACAUCCAAGUUGAUGCACACUUUUAAAGAUGCAAGCAAAACAUCUGCACUGCACGUUCUGUCAUUUGGCCAUACUUCAUUUAAAAUACAAAAAAAAAAAAAAAAAUUAACCUUGACCACUUUCCUUUUACAAUAAAACAUAAACAUUGCUUUUAGUUAAUUUAAUCAUUUUAAUCAUUGAUAUAGUUUUGGACAGAAACCCAGUGUACAUAGUAUAUAAUUUACAGUCAACACUUUACGGAUAGGGGCCCAUUUGCGCCAAGAGGACUCACCUUUUUUCAUUAAUAUUUCAAGGAUUUCACAUUAGUGGAUGACUCGUUUUCACAACGGGCCAGCUUGAAAAACUUAAAUUUUAAAAAAAGGGGAAAAAAGACCAAAUCUGGUGUUGACCAUCUACUGGUGUAACUGUCGUCCACGCAGACUGACGGGAGAUUCCUAAAACAGAACCAAAACUUUUGCUAACAGUCCACUCGUGUCUCUGCGAAACUGCAGAGCUUAAUAAGCAUGUCGGUUAUAGUAAACAUCAUAUUUCUUUAGGCUCGUUUAUAUUCUCUUUACAUUCAGACUGGGAGAUCAUUUGUGCUGUGCGCUGCAGGGCUUCUAAUUGCAUCAAUGUGAGAUGCAAAUUUACUUGGGGCGAGUCAAAAACUUUAGCGCGGGGGGAAUUAAGGCUUUCGCCAAGUUUAAAUGGACACGCUUAGGCUUCGACCUAAACGCCCCUGUUGUCGUGUCAAACACCCAGCUGUGACUCUUGCUUGUGUUGUAAGCAGCUUUGUGAUGUGGGGGAAGAAAAAAAAAACCUGUCUUCUGGCACACUUGUAUUACAGGGGCCAGUGGCUCAAGUAAUUGAAUGCAAAGGCACACACGCAGACAGACUUCCACAAAUACUCAUCACUGUGUCGGGAGGCUGGCCUGACUGACUGAAGAGGAGAAAUAAGCAUUUGAGCAAAUGAAAGGAUGAAGCCUCUCAGCCGAGUCGACGACUGUGAGUGUGAACUCAAAUUAAAAUCGUAUCUGGUGAGUGCGUGCGUGUUACUGUACCAGGUGUGCUUAUCUUUCAGGAUGAAGGAGAAGAGCCUUUCCCUUUUAUCUGUUCCCCAGGUGCUGUUUCAAAGGCAUGUCCCUGCUCUGCCUCGGAGUAAAUGACCAAGAUAAGCGACUGUAGGCACGGCUGGAUUGACUGAUGUACAUUCACACGACAACAACACACACACACACGGGUACAGCUGAUACUGUAGCCCCCUCCUAACAGAUAGCCACAUAUGCAAUUUCUGUUGAUUCCUCACAUUCCUGACAAACUGAACCUGAGGAAAACUAUAAAUGCUCUGCAGACACAACAUCCAC
Astatotilapia calliptera (eastern happy) is the source of this 2224-nucleotide long non-coding RNA. Lineage: Eukaryota; Metazoa; Chordata; Actinopteri; Cichliformes; Cichlidae. The record is from Ensembl.